GAAAAGAAACCGAUGCUCUAUAUACGUACAUUGUUUGAAUAGGGAUAUAAGAACCGGCCAGCACAAACUCUACUUUUCAGAUUUGCGUUAUCCUUAAAUAUGGCCAAAGUUUCCAGUUCCCAGAUUCUGGUCAUUUUCGCUGUUGUGGCCGCUGUUCUUUCAAAUACGCUCGACCUAAACACCCCGUUUGUUCUCGCUUCCCCACUUUUCGGGUGUUGCGGGAGAAAGUCUCGUGCCAAACGUGGUACUACGCAAAAUCAGGGAGCACCAGUGUAUUAUCCUCACCCAGCUCCAGGUCCUCGGCCAAACAACCCUUAUUUUUCUGAAACAAGUUCAGGUAGAAACAGCAUCCGUGCUAAAAGAGGGUGUUUUGGAUGCAAUCGUCGUAACAAACGUCACGCUGAGCAAGGACAAGGCGUACCGGUUUAUAGAACACACGCGCCACCGAAAGAGAUCGACCUUCGACCAGUACAACGAGUACGACGACAACUUCAAGAUAGGGAAGCUCGACUGUCAGCUACCCACGGAAAGCACGCACCGCCGAAGCCGCCUCGACGUCAUUCGACUACGUAACAUAUUGACUGUGCUAUAGAAUUAUGCGCUACAGAGUUGACGUACGAAAUAAAUAUUUACCAAGA
Long non-coding RNA from Dermacentor silvarum, 638 nucleotides. RefSeq lists it as uncharacterized. The record is from RefSeq and is a predicted model, not a curated record. The transcript has 3 exons. Lineage: Eukaryota; Metazoa; Arthropoda; Arachnida; Ixodida; Ixodidae.